RNAcentral lists this ribosomal RNA (497 nucleotides) under uncultured bacterium. RNAcentral's name for it is "partial 16S ribosomal RNA". It matches the Rfam family "Bacterial small subunit ribosomal RNA", at positions 28 to 507 of the family's 1533-position model. The record is from RNAcentral.
GAUGAACGCUGGCGGCGUGCCUAAUACAUGCAAGUCGAGCGAACAGACGAGGAGCUUGCUCCUCUGACGUUAGCGGCGGACGGGUGAGUAACACGUGGAUAACCUACCUAUAAGACUGGGAUAACUUCGGGAAACCGGAGCUAAUACCGGAUAAUAUAUUGAACCGCAUGGUUCAAUAGUGAAAGACGGUUUUGCUGUCACUUAUAGAUGGAUCCGCGCCGCAUUAGCUAGUUGGUAAGGUAACGGCUUACCAAGGCGACGAUGCGUAGCCGACCUGAGAGGGUGAUCGGCCACACUGGAACUGAGACACGGUCCAGACUCCUACGGGAGGCAGCAGUAGGGAAUCUUCCGCAAUGGGCGAAAGCCUGACGGAGCAACGCCGCGUGAGUGAUGAAGGUCCUCGGAUCGUAAAACUCUGUUAUUAGGGAAGAACAAAUGUGUAAGUAACUAUGCACGUCUUGACGGUACCUAAUCAGAAAGCCACGGCUAACUACGUG